This 596-nucleotide ribosomal RNA is filed under the name uncultured bacterium. RNAcentral describes it as "bacterial SSU rRNA". It matches the Rfam family "Bacterial small subunit ribosomal RNA", at positions 67 to 645 of the family's 1533-position model. The record is from RNAcentral.
CGAGAAGCGGGCUUCGUCCGUUAGUAAAGCGGCAGACGGAUGAGUAACACGUGGGUAACCUACCUCCGAGUGGGGGAUAACUCAGGGAAACUUGGGCUAAUACCGCAUAACAUCCGGAACCUCUCGGGGAUCCGGAUCGAAGCCGGGGAUCUUCGGACCUGGUGCUUGGAGAUGGGCCCGCGCCUGAUUAGCUUGUUGGUGGGGUAACGGCCACCAAGGCUUCGAUCAGUAGCCGGCCUGAGAGGGUGAUCGGCCACACUGGAACUGAGACACGGUCCAGACUCCUACGGGAGGCAGCAGUGAGGAAUUUUGCGCAAUGGGCGAAAGCCUGACGCAGCGACGCCGCGUGGACGACGAAGGCCUUCGGGUCGUAAAGUCCUGUCGAGAGGGAAGAGCGGGUAAGGGUGAUAACCCCUUGCCUCCGACGGUACCUCUGGAGGAAGCCCCGGCUAACUCCGUGCCAGCAGCCGCGGUAAUACGGAGGGGGCCAGCGUUGUUCGGAAUCAUUGGGCGUAAAGGGCGCGUAGGCGGCUCACAAGUCGGGUGUGAAAUCCCUCGCUUAACCGAGGAACGGCACCCGAUACUGCCGAGCUUGA